This 75-nucleotide transfer RNA is filed under the name Candidatus Melainabacteria bacterium. RNAcentral's name for it is "tRNA-Cys". It matches the Rfam family "tRNA". From Rfam's summary of the family: Transfer RNA (tRNA) molecules are approximately 80 nucleotides in length. Their secondary structure includes four short double-helical elements and three loops (D, anti-codon, and T loops). The record is from RNAcentral. RNAcentral also lists the same sequence under 1 other name. Lineage: Bacteria; Bacillati; Candidatus Melainabacteria.
GGCGGCAUAGCCAAGUGGUAAGGCAGGAGUCUGCAAAACUCUUAUCCCCCAGUUCGAAUCUGGGUGCCGCCUCCA